GAUUCACUGUCAGUGGGAGCACUGAAUGAAAAGCCUGUUCUCCAAAUCAGUCCCCCAUUUAUCUACUAAAUCUUUCCAUUUCAUCCAAUCUAAAGAACCAUCGUGCGUCUGCAGCGGAGCGCUGCGCACGGAAUUGGAACGGGAGCACUCGGCUGUUUGGUGUCACUUGAGACCUGGAUCUCAUCUGUGUGGGAACGAGGCGGUGGCUGUGGCAGAGAGACAGGCUGUGUGCUGGAAAACAAAGAGAGAAUUCUGGCUGGCUGGGCUGGUGUGAAGAAUCGCUGCCGUGGGGCUGAGCUGAAGGUGUGCGAGGAGAAGGAAACAGGAGCAGAGCGAGAAGCCAGCUGUGAACAGCACCGCUCGCUUCUGCUACUGAGCGAGCUCUUCUAGAAAAUGUCAAAGAACAUCCUCAUCAUCUAAAGCCAUUUUUAAAAUGAUUGCUAAUAUGGCUCAAUUAUGUUUUCUUUCCCUGCACCCAUGUGUUUAAAUGUGAAAGAAAAUGGUGAGAGUGACUGCUAAAGAUGCUUGAUAGUGCAUAUUUGCUUGGAAGUAUAUUUUCAUAUCAAGCAAAUGUCAGUGCAAACACCUGCAAUUUGCAUUGCUUCUAACUGUAAGAAACAAACGUAAGUUGGUUCACCACCACCACAACUCUGAAUAAAGCUCCUGCUGCUCUGUGGCUGGUACUAGGU
Molecule: long non-coding RNA, 689 nt
Organism: Cyanistes caeruleus (blue tit)
Lineage: Eukaryota; Metazoa; Chordata; Aves; Passeriformes; Paridae
Source: Ensembl